CCUACGGGAGGCAGCAGUGGGGAAUAUUGCACAAUGGGGGAAACCCUGAUGCAGCGACGCCGCGUGAGCGAAGAAGUAUUUCGGUAUGUAAAGCUCUAUCAGCAGGGAAGAAAAUGACGGUACCUGACUAAGAAGCACCGGCUAAAUACGUGCCAGCAGCCGCGGUAAUACGUAUGGUGCAAGCGUUAUCCGGAUUUACUGGGUGUAAAGGGAGCGCAGGCGGUGCGGCAAGUCUGAUGUGAAAGCCCGGGGCUCAACCCCGGUACUGCAUUGGAAACUGUCGUCUAGAGUGUCGGAGGGGUAAGCGGAAUUCCUAGUGUAGCGGUGAAAUGCGUAGAUAUUAGGAGGAACACCAGUGGCGAAGGCGGCUUACUGGACGAUAACUGACGCUGAGGCUCGAAAGCGUGGGGAGCAAACAGGAUUAGAUACCCUUGUAGUC
This 439-nucleotide ribosomal RNA is filed under the name Clostridioides sp. ZZV15-6388. RNAcentral describes it as "bacterial SSU rRNA". It matches the Rfam family "Bacterial small subunit ribosomal RNA", at positions 338 to 795 of the family's 1533-position model. The record is from RNAcentral. Lineage: Bacteria; Bacillati; Bacillota; Clostridia; Peptostreptococcales; Peptostreptococcaceae.